Molecule: long non-coding RNA, 396 nt
Filed under: Heterocephalus glaber (naked mole-rat)
Lineage: Eukaryota; Metazoa; Chordata; Mammalia; Rodentia; Bathyergidae
Description: lncRNA (ENSHGLG00100049128.1)
Source: RNAcentral
CACAGGCUCCUUCAUCCUGCCACUCUUGGUCCUUAACCUGCAGCUUCCAUCUCACGGACACCUAGGGAUGCUGCAGCUCCUGCCAUCUCAUCUGCUCUCUAGGACGCCCUCAGCACAUGUUGCUGUUGUUCAGCAUGUGUUGUCGGAGUCACAUGGCGCCAUUUCUGCUGAAGUCCUGUCAUCCAGAAUUUAGUCACCGGCCGGCCAUCUGAGCUUCUGGGAGUCCCUUUCUCCCCAGAUGCCGCAGAUAUCCAUACCCGGCCCUGGACGCUGCUCCUGAGCACUGUUACACUGAGGAGACUUCUGCCUGCUUCGGAUAUUGUAGAAGACCUUCACCUCCGCUCUGUUACUUUGGAAACUUGGUUUAGAGCAAGAACAAGGUUAAGGAAGUUAAAA